Molecule: long non-coding RNA, 338 nt
Filed under: Rattus norvegicus (Norway rat)
Lineage: Eukaryota; Metazoa; Chordata; Mammalia; Rodentia; Muridae
Description: long non-coding RNA NONRATT015557
Source: RNAcentral
AGUAAGGGAGUAGGUUUGGUCAUACUUUUUUUUUUCAUUUUUAUUAAAUUGGGUAUUUAUUUAUAUUUCAAAUGUUAUUCCCUUUUCUGGUUUCCUGUCCAUCGGCUCCCUAACCCCUCCCCCUCCCCGUCAUAUUUUUUUUUCUUUUUUUCGGAGCUGGGGACCGAACCCAGGGCCUUGCGAUCGCUAGGCAAGCGCUCUACCACUGAGCUAAAUCCCCACCCCCACCCCCACCCCCGUCAUACUUUUUAAUACCAGUGACAAAACUCACAGAAAUAUAUGGAAGAAUGUAUGUGUGUGUGUGUGUGUGUGUGUGUGUGUGUGUGUGUGUGUGUGUG